RNAcentral lists this unclassified non-coding RNA (305 nucleotides) under plant metagenome. RNAcentral's name for it is "partial contains 5.8S ribosomal RNA, internal transcribed spacer 2, and large subunit ribosomal RNA". The stretch from base 1 to 105 matches the Rfam family "5.8S ribosomal RNA", at positions 50 to 154 of the family's 154-position model. The record is from RNAcentral.
GAAAUGCGAUAAGUAGUGUGAAUUGCAGAAUUCAGUGAAUCAUCGAAUCUUUGAACGCACAUUGCGCCCUUUGGUAUUCCUUAGGGCAUGCCUGUUCGAGCGUCAUCUAAACCUUCAAGCCCUGCUUGGUGUUGGGUGCCUGUCCCGCCUCCGCGCGCGGACUCACCUCAAAUCCAUUGGCGGCCCCCGCGUCGGCCACGAGCGCAGCAGAAACGCGAACUCGUGAGCCCGUCCGGGCGGCUCCCAGAAGCUACACCCACCCAGUUUGACCUCGGAUCAGGUAAGGAUACCCGCUGAACUUAAGC